Molecule: ribosomal RNA, 459 nt
Filed under: uncultured bacterium
Lineage: Bacteria
Description: partial 16S ribosomal RNA
Rfam family: Bacterial small subunit ribosomal RNA
Source: RNAcentral
CCUACGGGAGGCAGCAGUGAGGAAUAUUGGUCAAUGGGCGAGAGCCUGAACCAGCCAAGUCGCGUGAGGGAAGACGGUCCUAUGGAUUGUAAACCUCUUUUGCCGGGGAGCAAAAAGCGGUACGUGUACCGCAACGAGAGUACCCGGAGAAAAAGCAUCGGCUAACUCCGUUCCAGCAGCCGGGGUAAUACGGAGGAUGCGAGCGGUAUCCGGAUGUAUUGGGGUUAAUGGGUGCGCAGGCGGCGUGUUAAGUCAGCGGUAAACGUUCGGGGCCAAACCCCGACGGGCUGUUGAAACUGGCUUGAUAGAGUGGGCGAGAAGUAAGCGGAAGGUAUGGGGUAGCGGUGAAAUGCAUAGAGAUCAUACAGAACACCGGUUGCGAAGGCAGCUUACCAAACUACGACUGACGUUGAGGCACGAAAGCGUGGGGAGCAAACAGGAUUAGAUACCCUUGUAGUC